UGGCUCUCUCGGGAGCAUGUGCACACUUGUCAUCUUUAUAUCUCCACCUGUGCACCUUUUGUAGAUCUGGAUAUCUUUCUGAAUGCCUGGCAUUCAGGUUUGAGGAUUGACUUUUGUCUUUCCUUACAUUUCCAGGCCUAUGUUUUCUUCAUAUACACCAUUUAUGUUAUAGAAUGUAAUAAAGGGCCUUUGUGCCUACAAACCUUAUACAACUUUCAGCAACGGAUCUCUUGGCUCUCGCAUCGAUGAAGAACGCAGCGAAAUGCGAUAAGUAAUGUGAAUUGCAGAAUUCAGUGAAUCAUCGAAUCUUUGAACGCACCUUGCGCUCCUUGGUAUUCCGAGGAGCAUGCCUGUUUGAGUGUCAUUAAUAUAUCAACCUCCUCAGGUUUCGACUUGUCGAGUGUUUGGAUGUGGGGGUCUUUUGCUGGUCUCUUUUGAGGUCGGCUCCCCUAAAAUGCAUUAGCGGAACAAUUUGUUGACCCGUUCAUUGGUGUGAUAACUAUCUACGCUUUUGAGGUGAAACAGGUUCAGCUUCUAACAGUCCAUUAACUUGGACAAAUUUUCAUUAAUGUGACCUCAAAUCAGGUAGGACUACCCGCUGAACUUAAGCAUAUCAAUAANNCGGAGGAA
Molecule: ribosomal RNA, 630 nt
Filed under: uncultured Cortinarius
Lineage: Eukaryota; Fungi; Basidiomycota; Agaricomycetes; Agaricales; Cortinariaceae
Description: eukaryotic LSU rRNA
Rfam family: 5.8S ribosomal RNA (bases 211-364)
Source: RNAcentral